GAGUUUGAUCCUGGCUCAGGAUGAACGCUGGUGGCGUGCCUAAUACAUGCAAGUCGAACGCUUUGUGGUUCAACUGAUUUGAAGAGCUUGCUCAGAUAUGACGAUGGACAUUGCAAAGAGUGGCGAACGGGUGAGUAACACGUGGGAAACCUACCUCUUAGCAGGGGAUAACAUUUGGAAACAGAUGCUAAUACCGUAUAACAAUGACAACCGCAUGGUUGUUAUUUAAAAGAUGGUUCUGCUAUCACUAAGAGAUGGUCCCGCGGUGCAUUAGCUAGUUGGUAAGGUAAUGGCUUACCAAGGCGAUGAUGCAUAGCCGAGUUGAGAGACUGAUCGGCCACAAUGGGACUGAGACACGGCCCAUACUCCUACGGGAGGCAGCAGUAGGGAAUCUUCCACAAUGGGCGAAAGCCUGAUGGAGCAACGCCGCGUGUGUGAUGAAGGGUUUCGGCUCGUAAAACACUGUUGUAAGAGAAGAAUGACAUUGAGAGUAACUGUUCAAUGUGUGACGGUAUCUUACCAGAAAGGAACGGCUAAAUACGUGCCAGCAGCCGCGGUAAUACGUAUGUUCCAAGCGUUAUCCGGAUUUAUUGGGCGUAAAGCGAGCGCAGACGGUUAUUUAAGUCUGAAGUGAAAGCCCUCAGCUCAACUGAGGAAUUGCUUUGGAAACUGGAUGACUUGAGUGCAGUAGAGGAAAGUGGAACUCCAUGUGUAGCGGUGAAAUGCGUAGAUAUAUGGAAGAACACCAGUGGCGAAGGCGGCUUUCUGGACUGUAACUGACGUUGAGGCUCGAAAGUGUGGGUAGCAAACAGGAUUAGAUACCCUGGUAGUCCACACCGUAAACGAUGAGUGCUAGGUGUUUGAGGGUUUCCGCCCUUAAGUGCCGCAGCUAACGCAUUAAGCACUCCGCCUGGGGAGUACGACCGCAAGGUUGAAACUCAAAGGAAUUGACGGGGACCCGCACAAGCGGUGGAGCAUGUGGUUUAAUUCGAAGCAACGCGAAGAACCUUACCAGGUCUUGACAUCCCUUGACAACUCCAGAGAUGGAGUGUUCCCUUCGGGGACAAGGUGACAGGUGGUGCAUGGUUGUCGUCAGCUCGUGUCGUGAGAUGUUGGGUUAAGUCCCGCAACGAGCGCAACCCUUAUUACUAGUUGCCAGCAUUCAGUUGGGCACUCUAGUGAGACUGCCGGUGACAAACCGGAGGAAGGUGGGGAUGACGUCAAAUCAUCAUGCCCCUUAUGACCUGGGCUACACACGUGCUACAAUGGCGUAUACAACGAGUUGCCAACCCGCGAGGGUGAGCUAAUCUCUUAAAGUACGUCUCAGUUCGGAUUGUAGGCUGCAACUCGCCUACAUGAAGUCGGAAUCGCUAGUAAUCGCGGAUCAGCACGCCGCGGUGAAUACGUUCCCGGGUCUUGUACACACCGCCCGUCACACCAUGAGAGUUUGUAACACCCAAAGCCGGUGGGGUAACCUUCGGGAGCCAGCCGUCUAAGGUGGGACAGAUGAUUAGGGUGAAGUCGUAACAAGGUAACC
This 1537-nucleotide ribosomal RNA is filed under the name Weissella confusa. RNAcentral's name for it is "bacterial SSU rRNA". It matches the Rfam family "Bacterial small subunit ribosomal RNA". Lineage: Bacteria; Bacillati; Bacillota; Bacilli; Lactobacillales; Lactobacillaceae. The record is from RNAcentral.